CUUGGCUUGUUGCUGGGACCAGUAAGCAUGUGCAGUCAGGACCCUGUCCAAGAGCUCCUGGGGGACAGGCUCUCCCCUCCUUUGCUGAGGGGAUAUUCUUGCCGUGUGCACGAGUGUUUUCCAUUUAUCCUUCAGAUCCACAUAAGUUCGGUGCUUUGCAUUAUCAAAAGCUCGCAGUUUGACAUCACGCCACCUUCCAGUUCCAAGUUUCUCAACUGCUUGCACCAAGGCUUCAACUUCAGUAACAGAGAAAGGUCGACGAAUUCGGCGCUGCACAAUCUCAGAUCGCUUGGAUUUCCGGUGUGCCGGAACCACAGCUAGUGCCUCUAUAUUCAUUUCUGGCACAGGAACCAAAGCUUUUGAAUCAGUGCUUUUGUCAAUAUCUGUAGGAGAGGGUGCUGAAUCAUGGUCACUUUCAAUUAAAUUCCCUAAAUUAGUCCCAUGAGGCUCAGGAGAAGCCGCGUAUGUGGUUUGAUGUACCACACUUGGAGCAGGUGG
This 498-nucleotide unclassified non-coding RNA is filed under the name Hevea brasiliensis (rubber tree). Lineage: Eukaryota; Viridiplantae; Streptophyta; Magnoliopsida; Malpighiales; Euphorbiaceae. The record is from RNAcentral.